AAGCAAGAAAAAUAAAGAACCCAAUCAAAUGCGUCCAGACGUUGAGGGUUUCAUUGUGGAUGGUGAAGAUGCUGAGAAAGAUCUGCUUCAGCGGCAACUCCCCGCGGUAAUACCCCAAGAUGUACUCGUUGUCCUUGAGAUAUCCCGGCAGCGAAUUGUACUCCACCAGCUGGUACUUCACCUUCUUCCACAGCCGCCGCCCCUUG
This 206-nucleotide unclassified non-coding RNA is filed under the name Hevea brasiliensis (rubber tree). Lineage: Eukaryota; Viridiplantae; Streptophyta; Magnoliopsida; Malpighiales; Euphorbiaceae. The record is from RNAcentral.